GACAGGUGCUGCAUGGCUGUCGUCAGCUCGUGUUGUGAAACGUUGGGUUAAGUCUCGCAACGAGCGCAACCCCUAUCUUUAGCUACCAGCAUUAAGUUAGGUACUCUAGAGAGACUGCCCGAGUUAACCGGGAGGAAGGUGGGGAUGACGUCAAGUCCUCAUGGCCCUUAUGCCUUGGGCUACACACGUAAUACAAUGGUACACACAAAGGGAAGCGACCCAGCAAUGGUGAGCAAAUCUCAAAAAGUGUGCCCCAGUUCGGAUUGGAGUCUGCAACUCGACUCCAUGAAGUUGGAAUCGCUAGUA
RNAcentral lists this ribosomal RNA (306 nucleotides) under uncultured Peredibacter sp. Its description in RNAcentral is "bacterial SSU rRNA". It matches the Rfam family "Bacterial small subunit ribosomal RNA", at positions 1033 to 1340 of the family's 1533-position model. Lineage: Bacteria; Pseudomonadati; Bdellovibrionota; Bacteriovoracia; Bacteriovoracales; Bacteriovoracaceae. The record is from RNAcentral.